AGCGAACGCUGGCGGCGUGCCUAACACAUGCAAGUCGAACGUGAAAAGGGAAACCUGAGUAAAGUGGCGUACGGGUGAGUAACGCGUAGGUAAUCUACCCCAGAAUCUGGAAUAACCUGCCGAAAGGCGGGCUAAUACUGGAUAGAGCGAGGGAACUCGUAAGAGAGUUUUUCGGGAAAGGGAGCCCGCAAGGGCCUUCGUUCUGGGAUGAGCCUGCGUCUCAUUAGCUAGUUGGUAAGGUAACGGCUUACCAAGGCGAUGAUGAGUAGCUGGUCUGAGAGGAUGAUCAGCCACACUGGAACUGAAACACGGUCCAGACUCCUACGGGAGGCAGCAGUGGGGAAUCUUGCGCAAAGGACGAAAGUCUGACGCAGCCACGCCGCGUGAGUGAAGAAGGCCUUCGGGUUGUAAAGCUCUGUCGGAUGGGACGAACAUCUUCAUAGUGAAUAGCUAUGAGGACUGACGGUACCAUCAAAGGAAGCACCGGCUAACUCCGU
This 497-nucleotide ribosomal RNA is filed under the name uncultured bacterium. RNAcentral describes it as "partial 16S ribosomal RNA". It matches the Rfam family "Bacterial small subunit ribosomal RNA", at positions 29 to 506 of the family's 1533-position model. The record is from RNAcentral.